UUCUGGAGUUGAAAAAUCAGGAGUUAGGCAAAAAAGAGUGAAAGAGUUAGAUUUCUGGAGUUUAUUGUUUAACUCUGACUACAGUGUGUGUUAUGGGAUACUCCCUGGCUGUGUUUUAUUUUGGAGUUCAUUAAUUGGUGUUCAGGAGCGUGUUUUAACACCACAUCUGGAGUUAAAUGUUGAGAAGUGCGCCACGACACGACCCUGGUUCUGCAGCACAAAUGACUUGUACUUCAUCGUGAGGUCACGAUUUUGAUAAAAGUGCAACGUGGAGUGAAGAAGUAUGUAAAACUGGAAGGUGUUUGUUUCUCAGAUUUUCUCAGUACAGUCCAGCAGAAGUUUCUGAUACCAAAGAAUUCAACAUUGAAAGUCACAGAUGACCAUUGCAUAGAGGUGGAUGAGGAUGUCUUUCCAGAACUUGCAACAACCAAAGAAAUGUGUUUUAUCAUCCACACUG
Molecule: long non-coding RNA, 457 nt
Organism: Sinocyclocheilus rhinocerous
Lineage: Eukaryota; Metazoa; Chordata; Actinopteri; Cypriniformes; Cyprinidae
Exons: 3
Source: RefSeq, a predicted model, not a curated record